GAUCAGCCCCUCCGUCUCCAUCUCAUUAACCAGCCGAUCGAUCUCCUCCGUCAAUCCAUUCCUGGCCAGGGCGACGACCAUCUCGCCGUACAUGCUGAGGUCGGCGCCGUACUCCGAUCGGAUGACGGAGAAGACUCUGGCGGCGAGGGCGCAUUGUUCCUGGCGGAGGAGCUCCUUCAAUGCGGCGGUGAGAUCGGCUUUCAGGAGGCGGGAGAAGAGAUGGGUGGGGAGAUUCGACGGGUCGGUUCUGUGGGCGCGUUUGAGGGAUUGGAUGGCUUGGAUUGCUUCGAUGCUUAGGAUUCGGCCUUUUAGGAGCGGGCCGCGGUUGUCGCGUGGGCCGCAGCGUAUGGUGGUUGUGCGGCGGAUGUUGGUGGCGGGGGCGGCGGCGGUGGUGGUG
This 397-nucleotide long non-coding RNA is filed under the name Erythranthe guttata (spotted monkey flower). RNAcentral's name for it is "long non-coding RNA (EGUT_LNC002990)". The record is from RNAcentral. Lineage: Eukaryota; Viridiplantae; Streptophyta; Magnoliopsida; Lamiales; Phrymaceae.